UAGGAUAGUGGCUAGGCUGACCGGAGUGUC
RNAcentral lists this small RNA (30 nucleotides) under Bombyx mori (domestic silkworm). RNAcentral describes it as "ovarian small RNA-22674". The record is from RNAcentral. Lineage: Eukaryota; Metazoa; Arthropoda; Insecta; Lepidoptera; Bombycidae.